UGGGGAAUAUUGGGCAAUGGGCGCAAGCCUGACCCAGCAACGCCGCGUGAAGGAAGAAGGCCUUCGGGUUGUAAACUUCUUUUGUCAGGGACGAAGAAAGUGACGGUACCUGACGAAUAAGCCACGGCUAACUACGUGCCAGCAGCCGCGGUAAUACGUAGGUGGCAAGCGUUAUCCGGAUUUACUGGGUGUAAAGGGCGUGUAGGCGGGAGAGCAAGUCAGACGUGAAAUUCCAGGGCUCAACCCUGGAACUGCGUUUGAAACUGUUCUUCUUGAGUGAUGGAGAGGCAGGCGGAAUUCCGU
This 303-nucleotide ribosomal RNA is filed under the name uncultured bacterium. Its description in RNAcentral is "bacterial SSU rRNA". It matches the Rfam family "Bacterial small subunit ribosomal RNA", at positions 355 to 672 of the family's 1533-position model. The record is from RNAcentral.